AGUGAACGCUGGCGGUAGGCCUAACACAUGCAAGUCGAACGGCAGCACAGUAAGAGCUUGCUCUUACGGGUGGCGAGUGGCGGACGGGUGAGGAAUACAUCGGAAUCUACUUUUUCGUGGGGGAUAACGUAGGGAAACUUACGCUAAUACCGCAUACGACCUACGGGUGAAAGCAGGGGAUCUUCGGACCUUGCGCGAUUGAAUGAGCCGAUGUCGGAUUAGCUAGUUGGCGGGGUAGAGGGCCACCAAGGCGACGAUCCGUAGCUGGUAUGAGAGGAUGAUCCGCCACCCUGGCUGUGAGACAGAGUCCACACUCCUACGGUAGGCCGCAGUGGGGAAUAUUGGACAAUGGGCGCAAGCCUGAUCCAGCCAUACCGCGUGGGUGAAGAAGGCCUUCGGGUUGUAAAGCCCUUUUGUUGGUAAAGAAAAGCAGCAGGUUAAUACCCCGCUGUUCUGACGGUACCCAAAGAAUAAGCACCGGCUAACUUCGUG
RNAcentral lists this ribosomal RNA (492 nucleotides) under uncultured bacterium. RNAcentral's name for it is "partial 16S ribosomal RNA". It matches the Rfam family "Bacterial small subunit ribosomal RNA", at positions 29 to 507 of the family's 1533-position model. The record is from RNAcentral.